AGACCAUUUUACCUGGCCGUGUUGUUAGUGACUGUUGCCUUCGUCAGUCAGCUAACUACACUGCCUGGUAACAAGGCUGG
Non-coding RNA from Podarcis lilfordi (Lilford's wall lizard), 80 nucleotides. NCBI's taxonomy places the organism in Eukaryota, Metazoa, Chordata, Lepidosauria, Squamata, Lacertidae. The record is from the annotation of a GenBank genome assembly.